GGUCCUGUGGUGUAGUGGUUAUCACGUCUGCUUUACACGCAGAAGGUCCGCCGGUUCGAUCCCGGCCAGGACCU
Molecule: non-coding RNA, 74 nt
Organism: Ostertagia ostertagi
Lineage: Eukaryota; Metazoa; Nematoda; Chromadorea; Rhabditida; Trichostrongylidae
Source: the annotation of a GenBank genome assembly